UUUCAUAUGCUCCCUCUCAUUAAUUAAACUUUCAUCACCAGCGAGAACAACCAUCACAGGGAGUGCGGGUCUGCUGUGUGCCAAAGCUCAACUGCUGCUGGGGCCUGGCCAUCUCCCAGGAAGGCAGCAUGGACCCUCACCACGGGUGUCCCGCCUCCAGGAGUGGACAGAGGCUGACCCCCCGAUGCCCCCAAACACUGACCCUCACAGCCCUCCACCUCCUGCUCCUGCAAUAGGCAGGUGAUGUGAAGGUGUCUCAUCAGCUGUCAAGCUACCAGUUCAGAACACACCACGUUGAGGAGAGAAAAUAUUAAUUUACCUGGACUUUUAAUGACUGCGGACUUCUCGGAGCACUGGAGCAGAAAGACUGACCAUCUGUGGGACAUCGCUGGACCCAGGCUCUGCUGUUCUCCAGUGAGUGACCCCGCAUGGGGAACUGCUU
Molecule: long non-coding RNA, 442 nt
Organism: Bos indicus x Bos taurus (hybrid cattle)
Lineage: Eukaryota; Metazoa; Chordata; Mammalia; Artiodactyla; Bovidae
Source: Ensembl